GCAGUCGUGGACUGGUUAGGGUUUCAGGCUUGUAACCAGAGGGUUCCUGGUUCAAUCCCUGACCAGUGGG
Molecule: transfer RNA, 70 nt
Filed under: Alosa alosa (allis shad)
Lineage: Eukaryota; Metazoa; Chordata; Actinopteri; Clupeiformes; Clupeidae
Description: tRNA-OTHER
Source: RNAcentral